GUUCCGUUAUUAAAUCCCUGUUGUUGAAGGAAUUCUCCCUCGAGCCCCCUUUGAAGCUAUGGGAACCCUUAGUGGCAGUUCGGCGGCCGCUGAACUUGCAGGCCACUGUUUCCCCCCUCCUACUCCUCUCGAUCCGUAGCAUCCUCUCGAGAUUGACCUCCAGGGUAGAAGCCUCGAUGGGAGAACUCCUCGAAAGAGCUCGGAAGACUGAAGGCGGCGGGGAGCCG
Molecule: long non-coding RNA, 227 nt
Filed under: Elaeis guineensis (African oil palm)
Lineage: Eukaryota; Viridiplantae; Streptophyta; Magnoliopsida; Arecales; Arecaceae
Description: long non-coding RNA (EGUI_LNC036559)
Source: RNAcentral